UUUAACAGUGGGUUUUUUUCCUGGAUCACCUUUGAAUUAUUUAAGAGCCAACUUUAUUAGGUAUAGUACUGGAAAAUACUUUAACCUACACUGUGGUUAUUGAACUGAACCCUGGUGUAUUUAAGACACUUUAUUAACUCAAAAAA
Thalassophryne amazonica is the source of this 146-nucleotide long non-coding RNA. RefSeq lists it as uncharacterized. NCBI's taxonomy places the organism in Eukaryota, Metazoa, Chordata, Actinopteri, Batrachoidiformes, Batrachoididae. The record is from RefSeq and is a predicted model, not a curated record. The transcript has 2 exons.